GACAGAGGGUGCAAGCGUUAUCCGGAAUGAUUGGGCGUAAAGCGUCUGUAGGUGGCUUUUUAAGUUCGCCGUCAAAUCCCAGGGCUCAACCCUGGACAGGUGGUGGAAACUACCAAGCUAGAGUACGGUAGGGGCAGAGGGAAUUUCCGGUGGAGCGAUGAAAUGCGUAGAGAUCGGAAGGAACACCCAAGGCGAAAGCACUCUGCUGGGCCGACACUGACACUGAGGCGCGAAAGCUAGGGGAGCAAACAGG
This 253-nucleotide ribosomal RNA is filed under the name uncultured bacterium. RNAcentral describes it as "partial 16S ribosomal RNA". It matches the Rfam family "Bacterial small subunit ribosomal RNA", at positions 524 to 776 of the family's 1533-position model. The record is from RNAcentral.